AUCGCUUCUCGGCCUUUUGGCUACGAUCAAGUGUAGUAUCUGUUUUACGGAGUACAGUUAUUGUGAGAGUGCAUCCCCCCUGCGUUGGCGGGGUUGUUUUUUUUUUUUUCUUCCUCUCAUUUUGUGUUGGGUGAAGUCAUG
RNAcentral lists this small nuclear RNA (141 nucleotides) under Betta splendens (Siamese fighting fish). RNAcentral describes it as "U2 spliceosomal RNA (ENSBSLG00000023064.1)". The stretch from base 1 to 79 matches the Rfam family "U2 spliceosomal RNA". From Rfam's summary of the family: U2 is a small nuclear RNA (snRNA) component of the spliceosome (involved in pre-mRNA splicing). Complementary binding between U2 snRNA (in an area lying towards the 5' end but 3' to hairpin I) and the branchpoint sequence (BPS) of the intron results the bulging out of an unpaired adenosine, on the BPS, which initiates a nucleophilic attack at the intronic 5' splice site, thus starting the first of two transesterification reactions that mediate splicing. Lineage: Eukaryota; Metazoa; Chordata; Actinopteri; Anabantiformes; Osphronemidae. The record is from RNAcentral.